This 22-nucleotide small RNA is filed under the name Mus musculus (house mouse). Its description in RNAcentral is "oocyte_piRNA3371". The record is from RNAcentral. Lineage: Eukaryota; Metazoa; Chordata; Mammalia; Rodentia; Muridae.
AUGACGCUGCAACAGGAUUCUU